Molecule: ribosomal RNA, 271 nt
Filed under: uncultured Thermovirga sp.
Lineage: Bacteria; Thermotogati; Synergistota; Synergistia; Synergistales; Thermovirgaceae
Description: partial 16S ribosomal RNA
Rfam family: Bacterial small subunit ribosomal RNA
Source: RNAcentral
CAGUUGCCAUCGGUAAGGCCGGGCACUCUGGAUGGACUGCCGGCGACAAGCCGGAGGAAGUGGGGACGACGUCAAGUCAUCAUGGCCCUUAUGUCCAGGGCGACACACGUGCUACAAUGGCCGGCACAACGGGAAGCGAAGGGGCGACCCUGAGCGGAUCCCACAAAAGCCGGUCUCAGUUCGGAUUGCAGUCUGCAACUCGACUGCAUGAAGUUGGAAUCGCUAGUAAUCGUGGAUCAGCCAAGCCGCGGUGAAUACGUUCCCGGGCCUU